GACGAACGCUGGCGGCGUGCUUAACACAUGCAAGUCGAACGGAAAGGCCCUGCUUUUGUGGGGUGCUCGAGUGGCGAACGGGUGAGUAACACGUGAGUAACCUGCCCUUGACUUUGGGAUAACUUCAGGAAACUGGGGCUAAUACCGGAUAGGAGCUCCUGCUGCAUGGUGGGGGUUGGAAAGUUUCGGCGGUUGGGGAUGGACUCGCGGCUUAUCAGCUUUUUGGUGGGGUAGUGGCUUACCAGGGGUUUGACGGGUAGCCGGCCUGAGAGGGGGACCGGCGACAAUGGGACUGAGAGACGGAGCAGACUCCUACGGGAGGCAGCAGUGGGGAAUAUGGCACAAUGGGCGGAAGCCUGAUGCAGCAACGCCGCGUGCGGGAUGACGGCCUUCGAGUGGUAAACCGCCUUCGCCUGUGACGAAGCGGGAGUGACGGUAAUGGGUAAAGAAGCACCGGCUAACUACGUG
This 468-nucleotide ribosomal RNA is filed under the name uncultured bacterium. RNAcentral's name for it is "partial 16S ribosomal RNA". It matches the Rfam family "Bacterial small subunit ribosomal RNA", at positions 28 to 507 of the family's 1533-position model. The record is from RNAcentral.